RNAcentral lists this transfer-messenger RNA (381 nucleotides) under Sulfurimonas sp. MAG313. It matches the Rfam family "transfer-messenger RNA". Rfam says of the family: Bacterial tmRNA, also known as 10Sa RNA or SsrA, is named for its dual tRNA and mRNA-like properties. Its role is to liberate the mRNA from a stalled ribosome. Lineage: Bacteria; Pseudomonadati; Campylobacterota; Epsilonproteobacteria; Campylobacterales; Sulfurimonadaceae. The record is from RNAcentral.
GGGGACGACUUGGCUUCGACUGGAGUGGUUUCGGAGAUUGGUUGCAUGUCGGACUGAGCAUUUCCGUUACGCGGCUCAACUUGCUUAAACGCAAACAACACUAAUUACCGCCCAGCUUACGCAGUAGCAUAAGUUUUACCCCCUCGCAAGAGGACGGGCUGCUUCGCUCUUCAAUACUAUCUGAGAAGAGAUUAUGAAGUAUAACCCUCAUGAUAGAUAUAUUUAUGGGAUGUUUCGACCAUAAACGAAUUUAGAAAAUCGUCUUGUCUAGCCUUGUAGGUUGUGCGAAAUCAAGAUUAAACCUAAACAAUCUUUCUAAACAUGUAGACGCCUUUUUCUAUCCAUUUUAGGACUGCGGUUCGAUCCCGCACGUCUCCACCA